AUGCCAAUUGCAAAUGUUAUAGGGAUCACGCAUAAGAUUCUACCACUGUAUGAAAAAAUCUCUGACGAUGCAAAGGAAACAGUUCAAGAGUGUGUAUCUGAGUAUAUCAGUUUCAUAACUGGGCUUGAUGAUUACAUUGAACUUCUUACUAUGUAUCUUCAUCGUCGCCAUGAGCUUGAAGGUGGACAAGGAAAUGCUGAUGCCAAUGGACAUCAUCAUCAACAUCAUCAUCAUCAAUAUAAACAAUAG
Non-coding RNA from Vicia faba (fava bean), 249 nucleotides. Lineage: Eukaryota; Viridiplantae; Streptophyta; Magnoliopsida; Fabales; Fabaceae. The record is from the annotation of a GenBank genome assembly.